GUAGGUGGCAAGCGUUGUCCGGAAUUAUUGGGCGUAAAAGCGCGCGCAGGCGGGGUCCUUUAAGUCUGAUGUGAAAAGCCCACGGGCUCAACCGUGGAGGGUCAUUGGAAACUGGGGGACUUGAGUACAGAAGAGGAAAGCGGAAUUCCAAGUGUAGCGGUGAAAUGCGUAGAGAUUUGGAGGAACACCAGUGGCGAAGGCGGCUUUCUGGUCUGUAACUGACGCUGAGGCGCGAAAGCGUGGGGAGCAAACAGGAUUAGAUACCCUGGUAGUCCACGCCGUAAACGAUGAGUGCUAAGUGUUAGGGGGUUUCCGCCCCUUAGUGCUGCAGCUAACGCAUUAAGCACUCCGCCUGGGGAGUACGGCCGCAAAGGCUG
RNAcentral lists this ribosomal RNA (377 nucleotides) under uncultured organism. RNAcentral describes it as "partial 16S ribosomal RNA". It matches the Rfam family "Bacterial small subunit ribosomal RNA", at positions 527 to 896 of the family's 1533-position model. The record is from RNAcentral.